Molecule: small nuclear RNA, 164 nt
Organism: Echinops telfairi (small Madagascar hedgehog)
Lineage: Eukaryota; Metazoa; Chordata; Mammalia; Afrosoricida; Tenrecidae
Gene: U1
Rfam family: U1 spliceosomal RNA
About the family: U1 is a small nuclear RNA (snRNA) component of the spliceosome (involved in pre-mRNA splicing). Its 5' end forms complementary base pairs with the 5' splice junction, thus defining the 5' donor site of an intron.
Source: Ensembl
AUACUUAACCUGGCAGGGGAGAUACCAUGAUCACAAAGGUGGUUUUUCCAGGGCGAGGCUCAGCCACUGCACUCUGGAUGUGCUGACCCUGCGAUUUCCCCUGUUGUGGGAAACUCGACUGCAUAAUUUAUGGCAGCAGGGGAAUGCGAUUGCACUCUUCCCUG